This 2219-nucleotide long non-coding RNA is filed under the name Homo sapiens (human). RNAcentral's name for it is "HSALNT0332777". Lineage: Eukaryota; Metazoa; Chordata; Mammalia; Primates; Hominidae. The record is from RNAcentral.
AUAAAAGCAGGCUGCCCCCAAGCCAGCAGUAGCAAAGCUGUCCGUUUUGGUUUCUCACCGUGGAAGCUUUGUUCUUUUGGUCUUUUGUAAUAGGUCUUGCUGUUGCUCAGUGUUUGGGUCUACAUUACUUUUGGAGCUGUGGCACUCCGCGUGAAGGCUUGCAGCUUCACCCUUGAAGCCAGUGAGACCAUGAACCCACCAGGAGGAGUGAAGGCUGUCUUGUCUUAAGUAGUCCUACCGGCUGUAACGGUUGUUGUGAAAGUCUGUAUCCUCACUCGUGAGCCAGCAAGACCAUGAAUCAACUAGGAGGAAGAAACUCCGAACAUAUGCGAACAUCAGGAGGAACAAACUCUGGAUACGCUGCUUUUAAAAGUUGUAAUGCUCACUGAGCAGGUUUGCGGCUUCAUUCUUGAAGUCAGUGAGACCAAGAACCCACCAAUUCUGGACACAAAAUCUGUUUGCCUGUUUAGAGGCAUACUACGGGGUUACAUUAGAAGCCCACCGAGAUAAUCCAAUACAAUCUUCUGAUCUCAAAAUCCUUCACUUAAUGACAUCUUUGGCAACUUGAAAUAAUAAUCACAGGUGUCUGACUUUUAAGUUUAUGUCAGGGUACUGGUACACCUUGGGCUUCACAGAGAACACACACAGUGCCAACCCUCUGCUCCGCUGCUUUACCUCAGACUUGGACAUCAACAACAGGAAGGUGAAACUGCAUUUUGAGGACAAGUUCACAUUCACAGCCCACCUGGCACUGAAGGAAGAUGGAAUUACUAUCCUCUGCUCAGAUAACAACCGAGGAAAGAGGCCCUACCCACCCUAUCCCAUAAGUGAGGAGGGAGAGGAACAUGAUUUUACCAAACUCCACAACAAAGAUGGCAGACAGCAUAGCUUUAGAUGCGCCCAUAGUAGACAUCACCAGUAAACUGCAACAUUUUCUGCAGAGUCCAGACAUGGCUCCACUUAAAUUUGCUCCUUAAAUCAGGGGCUAGAAACAGCAUAAUUUUUUUUUUGUUUUUUAAUGUUUAAUUUUGGUGGGUUUGUUGUUUUUGUGGGGUUUAUUUUUUAUUUUUUAUUUAUUUUUUUUUUGAGAUAAGGUCUCACUCUGUUGCCCAGGCUGGAGUGCAGUGGCAAGAUCAGGGUUCACUGUAGCCUCGACCUCCCAGGCAUAAGCGAUCCUCCCACCUCUGCCUCCUGAGUAGCUGGAACUAGAGGCAUGCGCCACCACACUUGGCUAAUUUGUGUAUUUUUUGUAGAGAGAGGGGUUUUGCCAUGUUGCCUAGGCUGGUCUUGAACUCCUGAGCUCAAGUGAUCCACCCACCUCUGCCUUCCAAAGUGCUGGAAUUACAGUUGUGAGCCACCAUGCCUGGCCUGUUUUGUGUUUUAAGCUAAAUUAUAUCUGGCUUUGUGCCUCCACCUCCUUGGCUGGGAGGACAUACAAAAGUGGUCAUUACUGGGACACUUAACUACCACCACCACCACCCCCCCUUGGAUAGAAUGGGAAUCCUGAGUGUUGGCCAGGAGAUAGGGCAGGGCCUGGCCUUAGUCCGGUUUGGUUGCUAUCACUUCUCUUUCUCCUGUCAUUUCCCAGUACCAGCGUUGAGUUUGGCCCUCUGCUGUUUAUCAGGCAUAGCUGCCACAGAGAAACUCAUCAGCAUUCCAGUCUGCCUCAGUCUGGGCUGCAAGCCUCCAAAGCCAAGAUGGCCAAUGCUAACUCCCAGGAAGCAAGGUGAGAGAACUAAGUUGUGUGACUCCAAAAGAGCAGAAACCAGGAACUGGAGAAUGGAGGACCAAAGAUCAGAGAACAAACGGUAAUCCAGAUGACUGAAGGAUGGAUGUUGUGCCCUCUGCCCUUUAGGGGAUCACAAGUCUCUGCUGUGAUUGAAGAGGGUAACAUACAGAAAGUAGAAUUUUACAAUUCCAUGCUUUAUAAGGUGAUGUCUAAAAAUGCACCUAUAGGAACAAAUGUGGAUUUCCUGGUUUUGAAUAUGAUUCUGAGUGGGCAUAUAAUAAAUGCUGUCUAGCAUUAUUUGCAACUGUAAAAUUAACAAUAGAGUUGGAUCUGAUUAGGAAAAGAAAAUCAGAAUUCGCUUUGUUCUUGUGAUCAUAGCCCAAGAUGCCCAGAAUGAGAAAGUUUCAUGCUGACUCAGACCAGCUUUAAAAAACAGGGAGAACCCUGCCACCAGCUUGUCACCAAAUAACCAUCCAUUAGCCAAGUAAAG